Molecule: RNA transcript, 2241 nt
Organism: Aphis gossypii (cotton aphid)
Lineage: Eukaryota; Metazoa; Arthropoda; Insecta; Hemiptera; Aphididae
Source: RefSeq, a predicted model, not a curated record
UUCUUAUCUAUCUCAGUGCAUAUUUGUUAGUUAUUAUCAUAAACCAUAGAUAAUAGAAAGUAAAAGUAAUUAUUAUUUAAUAUCCAUCGUGACCGUUUCGAGAGAAGUCGCUCGUUGAUCGAUAGUGACACUUUCAACUUUGUAAAUCAGUUUAAAAUUAAUCCGACCUUCGCUUACCCUCUUAAACCCGUUUUAUCGAAUAUCGACGAUGCCGAAUAACCAGUUCAUGCACCCAAGAAAUAUAUAUCGUACACCUCCCGCUUUCAAAGAGUUGUCCAUUAAAUAUCCUGAGUUCAAUAAGUACGCGUCGACUGGUUUGAAUGGUAAAAUUGUUUUUGACUUUAAAAAUCAAGAAGGCCUAAGAUUGUUGACCACUAUUUUAUUGAAGAAAGACUUUGAUUUAGACGUUGAUUUACCAGUCGGUAGAUUAGUACCUACCAUUCCAUUACGGUUAAACUAUUUAUUGUGGAUUGAGGAUCUAUUCAACUUGAACUACGACAAUACGAAAAAGAUCAAAGGAAUCGAUAUAGGUACAGGUUCAUCAUGUAUUUAUCCAUUAUUAGCAGCUAAAAAAUUUCAUUGGUCUAUGGUUGGUACUGAUAUCAAUAAAGAAGCUAUUAAAAAUGCUAUUAAAAACGUGGAAAAGAAUAAUUUACAAAAUUUAAUUCAAGUUCUUGAAGUAUCAGAAUGGGAAAGAUUAUUGCCAGUAGCAGUAGAUGAACAUUAUGACUUCUGUAUGUGUAACCCACCCUUUCAUAGUUAUUCAAAUUUAAAUUCAUCAGAUGAUGAAGCAAAUAAUUCAAUAGGGAUUACUUCUGAAAUGUAUACAAUAGGAGGAGAAGUUGAUUUUGUAAAAAAAAUGAUCAAGGAAAGUGAAAUAUUACAAAAUUCGAUAAGUAUUUAUACAACAAUGGUUGGUUAUAAAGCUUCAUUAGACCCUCUAAAAAAUGAACUGAAAGCUAUUGGAGCAUGUUCAGUUGCAGAAGCUGGUUUCUAUCAAGGUCGGAAUGCUCGUUGGGGAAUUGCUUGGACAUUUCAGUCUGAUAUUAAAUUAAAGGAUUUUUUGCCUAAUAAAGAGUUUCAAAAAGAGAAAUUAAAACUUAGACCUCCAGUGUCUUUUAAAAUUCCAGAAACGUAUGACUCUAUAACUGCACUAACUAAACUAUCAGAACUUUUAACUAGUCUUAAGUUGUCCGCAGCGAUAUUAAAAUCAAAAAGUGAUGAAAAUGUCUUAUACCAAGCUGACAUUCAAGCAUAUGAAAAUACAUGGACUCAUCAAAGACGAAAGAGACGUAUGGAAAAAAGAUUAGCUGACAGCAAACGUCAAAAAACAAAUGAUAAUUGUUUACACAUUGAAUCUGAUGAAGAAAAAGUUGAUCAGCAUUUAGAGACAACAGUGAAUGCCAAACGAUUAUUUUCAGCUACUCUAGUUCUAAGAAAAACAGACAAUUCAAUUUUUCUAGACAUGUUACACCUGGAUGGCAAUAGAAACAAUUCAUACCAAGUUUUUCAAUUCUUUAAGAAUAGAUUUAUAUAAUGGUUUCGUGUGACACAAAUUUAGGAAAACCAAAUCCAAGGCUAUCUGGCUGUGUGCUUGGUCGUUGAAAAUUCUCCCAUGAUGGAUCAGGCACAAAACUCUCAACUAUGUUGCAUGGCUAUGAAAUGACAAAGAUCCGUUGCCGUUCAAAAACACCGAUGCUUGCAACUUAUACCCAAAUUGGCUGGUGUAGAACGGCGAACUGAUGAGUUCUAGACCAUCACCACAUAAUUUGUGUCGACCCUCUUCAAGUUUUUCCAGUACAUCGCUGAUUUUCCAAAUCAGCGUACCUUUAAUGACCAUUGAACACAUUAAUGUUAAAUGUUGUUGGCUUGCUUCUUCCAUGUGUGUGUCCAUUUGCUUUCCUCUUAAACUCUGCAAUUGAAAAUAUGAAAGUUAAUUAAAACUUUAAAAGGUAAUACUUAGUUAAUACUUUUGACAUUUUACCUUGAAUCGGCAACCAACUUCUUUGAAGCUACAAGAUAUUAACAUUGAGUGACAUGCAUGUUUAAUAUGAUGUUCUAAAUCUUCACGUGCUACAGUGACAAUUUCACAUCUAUUGGGACAAGUUAGAGGGAAACGUGGGCAUGAUGUUGUAUGUGAGUUAAUAGUGUCAGCUACAAAUUGCCGUCCACAAUGGCGACAUGGUACUAAUCUUUUUGAACAUUCAGUGACCUGAAUAAAAUUUUUAUAUUUAUAGUUAA